This is a long non-coding RNA of Callithrix jacchus (white-tufted-ear marmoset), 2361 nucleotides long. RefSeq lists it as uncharacterized. NCBI's taxonomy places the organism in Eukaryota, Metazoa, Chordata, Mammalia, Primates, Cebidae. The record is from RefSeq and is a predicted model, not a curated record.
UCCGUUGUCAACGGCUGCGCGGCCCACGCGCGCUCUUGCGUCCUAAUCAAGGUAACCUCUCCUUGAGUACCGGGACUCCAGCGCUGGGGGGCGGGGAUGGUUGCUAACGCAGCUCUCUGCAGGGCAGAUCCGCCAGCACCCGCACGCACACUACGGGAUGGAGCAGUCUAACGGAAACUCAAAGUCGCUCCUAGGUUGCCAUUCUCGAGCCAGCCUCACCAUUGCAAUGAAGACAUCAAUUAAGCCAGGCACAGCAGCUACAAACGCUGAGCUCAGUUCCUGCAGGGAAGGACCUUCUACAGAGAGCUACCUGGGGACUGUGAAGCUGGACCCCAGGCGGAGUCUAGUCCUCUAUCAUCUAGCCCCCAUUCUCUUCUCCAACACUGCUGUGUCCCAGAUUUAAUCUUCAUGUACUUGAAGGACAGAAUCAUCAGCCUCACGCACUAAUUAUUCUUUAUGGUACAAACUCUAUGUUCUGCGUUUGCCCAGGCAGGAAUACAGUAGUAGCAUGAUCUCUGCUGACCACAACCUAGCUUCCUGGGUUCAAGAGAUUCUCCCACCUCAACCUCCCAAGUAGCUGGGAGUACAGGCAUGCGCCACCACACUUGGCUAAUUUUUAAAAUGUUUUGUAGAGAAGGGGUCUCACUAGGUUGCCCAGGCUGCUCUUGGACUCCUAGGCCCAAGCCAUCCUCCCACCUUAGCCUCCCAAAGUGCUGGGAUUACAGGAAUGAGCCACCACAUCUGGCCUCCUUCUUUUAAAGACAUAGUUUGGAAGUUAAUUAAAAAAAAAAAAGUCGUUUCUUUCUGUCACCCAAGCUGGAGUGCACAGGCAUGAUCUUGGCUCACUGCAACCUCCACUCCCCAGGUUCAAGCAAUUCUCCUGCCUCAGCCUCCCAAGUAGUUGGGACUAUAGGCAUGUGCCACUAUGCCUGGCUAAUUUUUUUUUUUUUUCAGAUAGUCUCUCUCUGUCCCCCAGGCUGGAGUGCAGUGGUGCGAUCUCAACUCAUUGCAACCUCUGCCUCCUGGGUUCAAGCAAUUCUCCUGCCUCAGCCUCCUGAGUAGCACCCAGCUAAUUUUUGUAUUUUUAGUAGAGAUAGGGUUUCACCACAUUGGUCAGGCUGGUCUCAAUCUCCUGACGUCAGGUGAUCCGUGCACCUUGGCUUCUGAAAGUGCUGCGAUUACAGAUAUGAACCACCUUGCCCAGCCCUUGGGUUGGAGUGCAGUGGUGCAAUCUCAGCUCACUACAACCUCUGCCUCCCAGUUUCAAGACAUUCUUCUGCCUCAGCCUUCUGAGUAGCUGGGAUUACAGGUGCCCACCACAGCACCUGGCUAGUUUUUUGUAUUUUUAUUAGAGUCAGGGUUUCACCAUCUUGGUGAGGCUGGUCUCAAACUCUUGAGCUAAGGCUGUCUGCCCAUCUCAGCUUCCCAAAGUGCUGGGAAUACAGGCAUGAGCCACCAUGCCAGCAAACGCUGUCUCUCUUCUAGGAAUCAAUAUAAAUCAUCUGGCAAUUAAUUAUUUUUUAUUUUGAGACAGAGUCUUACUCAGUUGCCCAGGCUGGAGUGCAGCAGCACCAACUAAGCUCACUGUAACCUCCACCUCCCGGGUUCCAGCCAUUCUCUUGCCUCAACCUCUUGAGUAGCUGGGAUUACAGGUGCACACCACCAUGCCUGGCUAAUUUCUGUAUUUUACAACAGGGUUUCACCAUGUUGACCAGGUUGGUCUCAAACUCCUGACCUUAGGUGAUGUACCCACCUCUGCCUCCCAAAGUACUGGGAUUACAGGCGUGAGCCACCACACCCAGCCCUAAUUUUUGUAUUUUUAGUGGAGAUGGGGUUUCCCCAGGUUGGCCAGGUUGGUCUCGAACUCCUGACCUCAAGUGAUCUGCCUGCCUCAACCUCCCAAAGUGCUGGGAUUACAGGCAUGAGUCACCACGCUUGGCCAAACCACCCUAAUUUCUACCAGCCAGAUGCAGAUCCUUAAAACAACCCUAGGAGGUAUUUCAACCAUUAUUCCCUUUUAAUAUCUGAGGAAAUGGAGGCACAGAGAGGUUAAAUCUCUGCCCUUGGUGGUGUGGCACCAAGGCACUGUACCUAAAUGAUUUAUUCAAAUGUAGAAGUCCUAUCUCUUUGAUCUAUGGUCUUUCCACUAUUUCUGGCGGAUUUCUUACCAAAUACUGAAGUUGGCAACAAAUGUGAAAACUUGAGCAUCCUUUUUUGACAGGCAAGGAAGACCAAACUGCCAAUUGUCAAUGUCAGAGGUUCUCAAAGUAUGGUCCAGGGACUUCUGGGAGUCCCUGAUACACUUUUGGUGGGUCUGCAAGUUCAAAAAUAUUUUCAUAAUAAAACUAAGAUACCAUUUGA